AUAUAUUUGAAAAGGAGAAGAUUCAGGGUUUCUCAUGGUGUUAUUGUUAUGUCUGUAGGACAAAUACUCGCAGAGCUUUUAAAUGCAAUUGCUAAAAAUAGCUCCAACUGCCCCAUGGGGCACCUCCGGGUUGGAAGGGUUAAGGACCGUGUUUGUGACCAAGCAGUAGUGUGAUUAGAUUUUAGGUGGAUAAUUUUUUUUUUAUUUAAACACACAAAUUCUGUGUGUUGUCGGACAAGCCAAACAUUCAAAAUAUCACAGCAUUCUUUUAUGGAUGAAGUGCUUGCUAGUGUUUUACAAGGUACAGUUGCCAAGAUGAUGUAUAUUUUAAGGAAGAACAUUUUAGCAAUACAAUAAAAACCCACAAAAACACAUCAAAUGCUUGCGUUCUUUAUUAGAAACUUGGAAGACAGAUUUUUAGGUUUUUAACAAGUGCACAAUCUGUAUACAAAUCAACAAUCUGUGAUGCGUGUGUGUCUCCAUUUUGCAGCUCUGAAGCUGCACAUAGAUAUGAAGGCACUUAGUGAAGUGCUGCAUCAGAAUGAGAGAUAGGAUACAUGACAAAAGGUCCACCACAGCUCCCAGUACCCACCCCUGCUCCCAGUCCAGCUAGCCCAAUCCACCCACAGCUCCCAAUCACCCAGCCACCCCAAUCCACCCACAGCACCACUGCUUUCACUACAGCCUCUAAUAGGCUCAUUUAUAAACUCACACUCAAAGAGGAGGGACCCUCUCUUUCUGACCAUGGACAUUCUGCACCUGCUAUAAUGUCCAACAAUAAGUCUCAUUGCUAUAUCUCUAACCUUUUCCUGUCUGAGCAAAUAUAAUUAGCAACUAGUCAAAACAGAGCUGUCCAGAUGUCAACAUUGACCAGUGUGCACGCCCCACAUGAAGUAUCCCCCCUCAGCGUAAGAGCAAAGGCCUGUGGGAAAUGUAGACCUUUUGAACAACCCAACAUGUAGAAUUUCGAGCGAUGACGCCACUGACCAAGACGACUUAAAGGAGAGUCCAAAUUACAUUAUAUUAUACAUUGAUUACAUUAUAUGUACUGUAUAAUCAAUAUAUAAUAAUCAAAUUAUUAAAUACAUAUACAUUUUGCCCCCCAAACCAACAAAUUUGGAAAAUCUAUUGCAAAUACGAAAGGCAUUUCAAAUGCAUCAGAUGCAUAACAAUAUCAGUUUUUGGAAAAUACAAAAAUACGCAGCUCAACAUACAGAACUCUAAAUACAAAGUUACCUAUGGAUUUUACCCCCUCAAACCAUCAAAUAAAAACUACAUGAGACUAUUUUCUAUUUCUAAUACCUGAAUUAGACAUUCCUGAAUGCAACCAUGGAAACAAGGCACUUUUGAUUAAACAAACACAAAAGGUAUAAUACUUAGUCCUGCAUUGGCAUCCUACACAACUGUCUGCAGGUAUGUGCACAAGAACAAGGAUUGUCACUUUCACCUACACAACUCUCUGCUCGUAUGCAUCCUACACAACUUUCUGCUCGUAUAUGCAUACUACACAACUCUCUGCUCGUAUAUGCAUCCUACACAACUCUCUGCUCGUAUAUGCAUCCUACACAACUUUCUGCUCGUAUAUGCACCCUACACAACUCUCUGCUCGUAUAUGCAUACUACACAACUCUCUGCUCGUAUAUGCAUACUACACAAGUGUCAGCAAGUAUAUGGAUUUCACCCCCUCAAACCAUCAAAUAAAAAGUUCUAGUAACCACAGCCACAGCAUGCCUUUGGGCUGACCCAGGGCAACCGAGUUAUUCAAUUCAAUUCAAUUCAAUUCAAUUCAAUUCAAUUCAACUUUAUUUCGCCAUGUAUACAGAUACUAGGAAUUUUUGGGGGUAUUCUCCAUGCAGGCUAUAGUAUCACCAAACUCCAAUCUCCUGCACGAGAUCUCCACGGCCGCUACACAAGCGCCAUCGGAAUUAAACCACAGGGUUCUGUCUUUGGGCCCGCCCAGGGCAACAGAGUUAUUGAACCACAGGGUUCUGUCUUUGGGCCCGCCCAGGGCAACAGAAUUAAAGAACCACAGGGUUCUGUCUUUGGGCCCGCCCAGGGCAACAGAGUUAUUGAACCACAGGGUUCUGUCUUUGGGCCCGCCCAGGGCAACAGAAUUAAAGAACCACAGGGUUCCGUGUCUUUGAGGUGCUGGCUCCAACCAGCAGGAAAUACCUGAACAAGGUCACCUGAUCUGCCUGGCGGUGGAGGCAGUCUCGCCUGCAUUAAUUAGCUCCACAGCCCUAACCUAAUCUAGAUGCGUCCCAUAACAACACUCAGCAGACUGAGGGGCACUAAAGGCCUAAAGUCAGGUGCCAGGAGACUGAGAGAGCGAAGAGAAGACAUGCUCCAAGUGUGGAAGCUGAUAGAGAGUAAAAUAGAGGAGUACUGGGGACCAAUAUUCCCAUGUAUUUGCAUGUAGUAGCAAGCAAUGUCUAUUAAAUUCUGUAAAACACAGAAGAAUAAGCAUACAAAAA
Clupea harengus (Atlantic herring) is the source of this 2474-nucleotide long non-coding RNA. Lineage: Eukaryota; Metazoa; Chordata; Actinopteri; Clupeiformes; Clupeidae. The record is from Ensembl.